RNAcentral lists this ribosomal RNA (474 nucleotides) under uncultured organism. RNAcentral's name for it is "partial 16S ribosomal RNA". It matches the Rfam family "Bacterial small subunit ribosomal RNA", at positions 330 to 796 of the family's 1533-position model. The record is from RNAcentral.
CGUACACUCCUACGGGAGGCAGCAGUGGGGAAUUUUGGACAAUGGGCGAAAGCCUGAUCCAGCCAUGCCGCGUGCAGGAUGAAGGCCUUCGGGUUGUAAACUGCUUUUGUACGGAACGAAACGGCCUUUUCUAAUAAAGAGGGCUAAUGACGGUACCGUAAGAAUAAGCACCGGCUAACUACGUGCCAGCAGCCGCGGUAAUACGUAGGGUGCAAGCGUUAAUCGGAAUUACUGGGCGUAAAGCGUGCGCAGGCGGUUAUGUAAGACAGUUGUGAAAUCCCCGGGCUCAACCUGGGAACUGCAUCUGUGACUGCAUAGCUAGAGUACGGUAGAGGGGGAUGGAAUUCCGCGUGUAGCAGUGAAAUGCGUAGAUAUGCGGAGGAACACCGAUGGCGAAGGCAAUCCCCUGGACCUGUACUGACGCUCAUGCACGAAAGCGUGGGGAGCAAACAGGAUUAGAAACCCUUGUAGUCC